UCCCGUUUGCUACGGGCAGUCUCGCUAGAAAAGUACAACUAGCGACAAGGGUUGCGCUCGUUGCGGGACUUAACCCAACACCUCACGGCACGAGCUGACGACAGCCGUGCAUCACCUCGCAUGGUGCCCCGAAGGGAGACCGGCUUUCACCGGCUGUCACCACACGUUCAAGCCCAGGUAAGGUUCUUCGCGUUGCAUCGAAUUAAACCACACGCUCCGCUGCUUGUGCGGGCCCCCGUCAAUUCCUUUGAGUUUUAGCCUUGCGGCCGUACUCCCCAGGCGGCUCACUUAAUGCGUUAGCUUCGACGCGGAGGGGGUCGAUACCCCCCACAUCUAGUGAGCAUCGUUUACGGCGUGGACUAC
Molecule: unclassified non-coding RNA, 363 nt
Filed under: uncultured Chloroflexota bacterium
Lineage: Bacteria; Bacillati; Chloroflexota
Description: uncultured Chloroflexi bacterium contains 16S-23S intergenic spacer region
Source: RNAcentral